UCAUGUCUUCAAUUUCAAUUGGUUUAGCUUUUAACUCAUCAGAAAAUGUAGCGGGAUCAUCAAGAGCUUUAGCAACUCUCUGUUAGACCAAAAUGGCCCUCAUUUUCUGUUUCUAUAUCGAGUAAUCCCCCUUUCCAUCGAAUUGCGAUAAUUCGACCCUCGAACCCAUUAUAGAUUCUAUAAAAGAGUGGCCUGUACUCGUGGACAC
This 208-nucleotide long non-coding RNA is filed under the name Olea europaea (common olive). RNAcentral describes it as "long non-coding RNA (OEUR_LNC001517)". The record is from RNAcentral. Lineage: Eukaryota; Viridiplantae; Streptophyta; Magnoliopsida; Lamiales; Oleaceae.